This 235-nucleotide ribosomal RNA is filed under the name uncultured bacterium. Its description in RNAcentral is "partial 16S ribosomal RNA". It matches the Rfam family "Bacterial small subunit ribosomal RNA", at positions 118 to 347 of the family's 1533-position model. The record is from RNAcentral.
UGGGCAAUCUGCCCAUCUCUUUGGAAUAAGCGUUGGAAACGACGUCUAAUGCCGAAUACGACCUCCUUUCGCAUGAUCGGAGGUGGAAAGCUCCGGCGGAGAUGGAUGAGCUCGCGGCCUAUCAGCUAGUUGGUGUGGGUAAUGGCCCACCAAGGCGACGACGGGUAGCCGGCCUGAGAGGGUGACCCGGCCACACUGGGACUGAGACACGGCCCAGACCUCCGUACGGGAGCAG